GUCGAGAAUAAUUCACAAUGGACGAAAGUCUGAUGGUGCAACGCCGCGUGGAGGAUGACGGUCUUCGGAUUGUAAACUCCUGUCAUCCGGGAGUAAGACCUGGCUGUGAAUAGCAGACAGGGUUGAUAGUACCGGAAGAGGAAGGGACGGCUAACUUCGUGCCAGCAGCCGCGGUAAUACGAAGGUCCCGAGCGUUGUUCGGAAUCACUGGGCGUAAAGGGAGCGUAGGCGGCGUGGUAAGUCAGAUGUGAAAUCCCGGGGCUCAACCCCGGAACUGCAUCCGAUACUGCCGUGCUAGAGGAUUGGAGAGGUAGCUGGAAUUCGUGGUGUAGCAGUGAAAUGCGUGGAGAUCAAGAGGAACACUCGUGGCGAAAGCGAGCUACUGGACAAUAUCUGACGCUGAGGCUCGAAGGCCAGGGUAGCGAAAGGGAUUAGAAACCCGGGUAGUCC
RNAcentral lists this ribosomal RNA (450 nucleotides) under uncultured bacterium. Its description in RNAcentral is "partial 16S ribosomal RNA". It matches the Rfam family "Bacterial small subunit ribosomal RNA", at positions 354 to 796 of the family's 1533-position model. The record is from RNAcentral.